GACUGCACUAUUUGAUGACUGCAUAUUAUAAGUUUUAAGCCUUUAAACCAAUUCACAUAUACAAGGUCCUUAUGCAUACAAGGGCCAUGCAAUUUCCAGUUACAAUUUCCUGUUGUCAAAACACCUAAUGUGAUCAUAUAAUACCUUUACGGAAUAGUAUGUUUGAUUCCUAUUAUUCCUUAUAUGGUUUAAUCCCUAUUUUAUCUCGUAACAUUGCCACAAUGUCUUAGACUUUAGGGAACCUUAUGUACUACAGUCAUUUCUCUGGAUAUAAUCGGAACCCAGUAACUAUUCGAAUUUUAAAAAUUACCUAACUUCUGUUUUCAUUACCCAGUCUGUUAUCUUUGUUAUCCCUUUGAACUAUUUACAUACCUACAAGAAGAGACCUAAAAAUUCCAGAACAAGGCACACUGAUCUUUCUUAGAUUUCUCUCCUACUACUGCUCAGCUGAUGCUAUGAAAGGAAUCAUAAACUUUGAUGUUUAUGUUUUUAAUUAUUACUUUUAUUGUUGGUAUUACUUGAGGGUGUAGGGGGAAGCUGACUCCUAGAAGGUUGCCAAAAGGAUGAGAAUAGAUAUGAAAAUACUUUGAAAAGUAUAAUGUACAGUAGUCUCCCCCCAACUCCUCUGCCGUGGGAUUACUGACAUUCCACCACCUCCAGUGGACGCCUGAAGCCGAUUAGUACUAAUCCCAAAUGAUUAAUUUAUAAAUUAGGUACAGUAAGAGGUUAACAAUAAUAAAAUAAUUACAAUAUACUGUAAUAGAAGUUAUGUGAAUGUGGUCUCAGUGUCUCUCUCAAACAUUUAAUUUUUGAAAAAUUUUCCAAAAUAUCCCACCCACAAAUUUAAUGCCUUUUCCAUACUCGCUAAGUAUUUAUCAUGCUUAGUGUCCGUAACUUAUACAGUCUGAUGAGGUAUGACAGCAAACAAAACUAGCAGGAAUUCCUUUUUCCUCCUCCACAAUUUCAGGCAUAGAUGUGCUCUUACCACAGAUCUUAGCAACCUUGGCACACGAUUUUUUUUUUUCCAUCUUUUUUCUUUCCUUAUUAAGUGGAGAACUUCACUUUUUCACUUAAAGGAAGCACUUUAUCGCUUCUUUCUGGCAUAUCCAAAUUGCCAGCAGCAGUACUCUUGCCCUUUGGGGCAUAAGUAAAAUAAGUGUCACUUGAACACAAGCACUGAUACUAUCGCAGUUGACAUAACGGGCAAAGAGUGUAUGCAGCAUGGAUACUGGACAAAGGGAUUAUUCAUGUCUCUGCAGUGCAGAGUGGCGGGAGAUUUCAAAUUUAUGAAUUAUUUCUGGAAUUUUCAAUUUAAUAGUUUCAGAUCUCAGUAGACCACACGUAACUGAAAGUACAGAUGGCGGUGGGGCUACUGUAUUUUUUAAAAACCAAAAAUUGGGAAACAAUAAUUUAUCCAACCCACAUCCUAUUUUUAAUAUGUUAGACAAAAGGAAGUUUACAUGUCAGAGUGAUAAAACUGGAGCUGCCUCAUUAUAAAUCCUAUCCACACAGAGUUAAGAUUAACUGUCUUUUUUUAAUGCUUUGUCAUUAUUUGUGUUCCAUAUCUUGCUUAAGGUAAAUGUUGCUGGUUACCCAAUAAAACCAAAGAUUUGCUCUCAGAAGCAAAACUGAAAAAGAAAUAAAUGUUUCAUUAGCAUCACUGUCAGUAAUACUGUUAUCGCAGGGGAAUCCUCUAAGAAAAUGUGUCCCUGCCUACCAAAAAUACAAAUAAUAAGUUCCUCCUUACAAUAUUAAGAACUAUUUUUUCCUUUUCAUUACAACCAGAAAAACAAUUCAUACAUCUGGGUUCUCAUCUUUGCUGUUCCAUUAACUUGCUCUUUUAUUUUGCCAUAUCUGUCUCUGUGAACUUCAACUUACUCAUGUGUAAAAAUGUGCAUCUCUACAGGGCCUCCUUAUUUUAACAUUGAUUCUAUAUUUAAGGAAAGCAUAUCUACGAGCACCCCCUUACCUAUAGUGCUUUAACUACUGAAUUACAAAAGUACAUUUAUAAAGUAAUUACUCCUUAAAGCAUUAUAAAGCAGCAGCAUAACUUUAAACUGGUAGUAUUUUUUCAAGAUAUAUAGUUUUCAUCAAAGUAAAUGUUUUCAGUCCCCCCCAAAAAUCCUAUGCUGAGAUCCAGACAUAGAUAUAUAUGUGUUUUCUUUAGACACUCCCUAUUUAAUGAAUCAAAUUUUAAGAUUUUGCUUUUGUGCCUUAAUUAAGCCACAAUUUGACCAUUUAAUGGAUUCAUAAGCACUAGAGUUGAAGGAAAAUGUGUACUCUUCAUGAACCAUACGCCUAAAGAAUAAUUGAGCAGAACCAUUCAUAAAUUGAAAAGCCCUCAAAAUACUGAUGUUUUUAAAAGUAUGAGUACACAGGCACUUUUUGAAAUAAGCAAUUUCCAAAUUAUUAUUUAAAAUGCUAAACUUACUUGAGUUGAAGUUUUUUGCCUUUUAUGAAAUACAAAGCAAUUUAGGAGGUUUGACCUGGUUUUCAAAAUAGAGAUUAUUUUCAAACUUAAAAACUGGUAAAAUAAAAGGCCACAGUGGCACUACCUAAUGUUUAAUUAGAAGGUUCCUUUCAAAAGUUAGUCCCCUGGUGCAAUAUUAGAAAAUUGAAUUUCUACAUUGCAUAUCAUAUCGAUACCCAAUACAAUAAAAAUAUCGUCUACUUAGAAUAAUUUUUUUAAAUCCACUAAGUCUCCUCACUCUCAUUACUCACAAUUCCCAUAUCCAUAAAUGUACUGUGGACAAAAGGUCCUACACUGAAGCUUUAGUCACUUAUCUAUUUCUUUGAAAAGCUUCGUGUCAUUGAUACUUAUUAAAAGCAAACAUGAUGAAAUACUAGGAGCUAUAUUUCUAAUAUUAUCUCCUGAAUACUUGAUGAAUACUUGUAGAAGGCAUUUUUUUUUUAAUUCCCUCAGUGCAUACAUCUAUUAAUACAAGAACGAUUAGACAUGAGCUAAAAUUCUCUUUAAAAACAAAAAUUAAUAGAAUAUAAACAAGGGACAGCAAUUCUGUUUUCCCCUAACAAGGAUGGCAAUCCCAGCUGCUGCAUCAAAACAAAAACUAGGGACUCUGAAAGCAGCCUCGGCUGGGUGCGAAAUUACAGUAUAAGGAAAAGACCUAGAAAUAAACUGAGCUCGGCACGCGCCUGCCUCUCGCCUAGGGAGCACGAACCUCCCAGCCCCGCUCUCAGCAGCGCUCACUAUUUAAAGCCGGAUCUGGUGUUUAAAUGGAGAGGUGGUGACGUAGGCCUGAAAAGCACCUUCCCAUCCUGGCAGAGUCUAUAUUAGAGAGCGGCAAUGGCUCUAUAUAAACAGGGCAGCCAAAGGGAGGAGGACCACAAGCUCAGGGACUGAAAAGCAGGGUAAGCGGCCGCAGCCAUGAUGGAUCGACCCGAGUCGCCAACGAUUAUGAGGAUCAGGAGUUUGGACAUAGCAGUGGAAAUGGCUUUUCACUUCUCUGUGACAUCUGAUGCCUCAACUGGAAGACUCAAUGUCUAUGAGUUGGAAUCAUGUGAAUCUUCAUGCACUUCUGUGCCUUGGUGAUUUUGGCUGUUAUCUGAGACCUUAGCUGGGACUGCCGACUGAACACCUACAUGUGGUCUCUCCAGUGUGGCCUGGGCUCCCACACAACAUGAUAGCCAGGGUCCAAAGGCAGCGUAUCACAUGCUGAGGAUAUAACGUCAGCAAAACUAGACACGAGAUUUAAACCCAGAACACUUCCAGCUGCUGGGUUGAAAAAAAAUGAGUCACUGUUACUGCCUUUAAGAAGUUCAGCAUCUAGAAGAAGAAACGACCAAUUGUGAUGCAGUAAAAGCAAUGAGAAUACAACAGAAAGUGCUCUGACAGGUCCAGGCAUUGCGCUGGAGACCGGACCAUGGGGACAAAGCGAAUAUGAAAACAUCACUGUUGCCCUGGAGGACCCGAGUUUGGUAGGAGACAGAUGACUUCCAGGCGAAGAACACUCCAUCCAAAGGUCACAUAGCGCUUGGCACUGUACAAGGCACCUUCCCUCACGCCCUGUAGCCCCACCCGGGCAGGAUACUCAACCGUGAGGAAGGAAGGGAAGCUCUGGGGAGAUGACGUGCCUAGAGGAAAUAGACAGAUGAGAGUCUGCUCCAUAGCCUCAGGGGAUUCAGUUCGCCCUGACUGAACCACUCAGCCUUGAAGGAGGGCUCUCCCAGAGAUGGGCCCCAUCGACCAGUCCCACAGACACAUCAGACUUGAUGACAACUGACAAGACAGGCCUGUGAAAGAAGCUGAAGGAGAAUUUUCCCAACUUCCUCAAGGACAGUGACAAAACAAAGUUUCUUUGAAGAAAAAGGCAAGAAUAAGGGUGAGAAGAUUCAGUUUUCUGAGUUUCUGUCCUUGGUGGGGGACAUACCCAUGGCUACCACGCUCAGAGCCACACAGCGAUGCCCUAUUCUACGGAAGCUUCAGUUUAAAAAAACAAAACAAAAACAGAGACAAUAAGACAUGGUGUGUGUGUGUGUGUGUGUGUGUGUGUGUGUAUGUGUGUGUGUGUGUGUCCAAGUUUAGUUUUAUGAGAAAACACACACAAUUGCAAGAGAAAUGGGGAGUGGUUGAGGCUGAGUGCAUUUAAUAAUCCUCACUGGGAGAGGGUUGAAAACUUUGUGAUACAUUCCCUGAACCUGUAAAUCAGAGAUUCAGAUGCAAAUGAUCAAAAAGUAGGGGCGGGGGGUGGGGGGGAUUGUCAUUUACCACAAGGCUACAGACAGAUAGGGAGGAUUCUGAGCCCCAGGGUGGUGAAUCUGGGAGGUGGAACCCUGCGAAAGGCAGCCAAGACAGGCGGGGUCUGUCAGACACCAGUUUCUGGGCGGGCCCUGCUCCCUUCUCAAGUUCUGGGCAUGGAGGGAUAGCGGCAGUUGGUUCAGUGGAACCCUGGAGAACCCAGUGUGGGCAAGCCCAUUUAUACUCUUUGGUGGGAAAUUCUUGCCAGCCUUGCCCUUUGCUGCCCUGUGUCCCUCAGCCCCUGUGGCAUUUUACAAAGGUUUAUUCGAUGAAAUGGAUGUCCCUAAAAAGUUUGAAAGAUAAAAUCUUCGACAUACAAAGAAGAAUCACUUAAGGUGUUCUCCCCGCCAUCCCUACCCCCACUCCCCGUAAGUGCAGUGACAUUUGCCAUGGAUUUACAGGUUUGGGUUUCCAGUCCAUGAGUGACACUAUUCAUUUCCUCCUGGGUGCUUUUUGCCACUUCAUUAAUCUGCCAUAAGGCGAAUCACACUGACUUUGCUGUGAAAGUACCAAGGCUUUCUAUGGGUGGAGUUUGGGGAAUUUAGCUAUUUCUCAACUAUGCCUGUUUUCCCCUAAAAAUAAAACUAUCAAACUAAAAAAAUAUUUUUAAUAAACAAAGGUUAGGAAGAGGUACAAGGCACUGCCACAGGCCUGCAGCCGAGUGGAAGACAGAGAGUCACUUGGCUGGAGAACUCUCCAAUGUGUAAAGAAUCUUUGAAGCUCUCAAUAGCUCAAUUGAAAGUACUUAUAAAUUCCCCACUGCUAGGGUAGAUGGAUAAAUGCCAGGUUUAGAAGUACUUGGUCAUUCUCCUAAACCUUGUUUUUCCUUAUCCUCCUUCUACCCUGGGAUCCAAGAUGAGUUAAAGGCUUUUCAAAGACAAAACUCCACCCUGAUUACACAGGUCGGGAUGUUCAGGAAGAGCCUGAUGGGGUUCCCACGGCUGGGGCUGCAUCCAGAAAUGCUCCCCACAGUGGAAAUGGGGUGGGGGAAUAUUUCAGACACUGACCGGAUCAUCAGCCAUGGAGAUCAACCAGAAUUGAGAGAGUGUCUGUGAAAACAAAAUGCUGUAAAGAACUGCAGCUUGUGAAGAGAGAGACUGUGAUAAACUAGGAUUCCUUGCAAUAUUAUCAAAUAUCAAACUAAAUCCUGUCUGAACCCUUUCGUCUGCAAGAGAGAUCUCUCUCCUUGUAGAACGUCCCCAAUAGCACACAGUACGAGGGCGAAUGUUAGUUACCCAAGUUUGAAAAAUGAUCCAGAAACAAAUUCCUAAACAACAUUUUUGAGAAGGAAAAACAAAUUAUUCUUGGACAUGCUGGGUAAUUCCAGGCACAGAGAAACUACUAGAAACUCCAUUAUUUUCAGAAGAAAACAAUCUCUUGGGCAAAAUAACCAAAACACCAAGAAUACACAACAUGUUUGCAAUGUUGUCCUAACCCAUACUGUGGUGCUUGUUGACAAGUCCAUAUGCCACCUGCAAAGCCAGCCAGCAGUUCAUCCUACACCUACGGGAAACUUAAUGAAUAAACCACAGGAUGUUAGAGACUGAUGUAUAGCUCAAUUCAGGCACGAUAGAAUAAACAUAACUGCAAAAUGAUUUGUAGCCUAGACACAGUGGCUGAGUCCUGAUUUUCAUUCUGUUUCACAUAACAUUUACUUUUUUCUCUGCUAAAAUCUCUCUUGCUGAAGAAGAAAGAUGUGUGGGUGGCAGGAUAACAGAUUCAGCCUUGUGCAUAUUUCAUGUAGUUAGUUAUCCAAGGAGAAACUGAAUUGACAGGGAACAGGACUUGUACCGAACCCUCAGAAAACAACACAUUAAGACAGACUGUCAAAUGGUUUCCCAAUAUUAAUCAUCUACCAACCAAUCAACCAAUCUGUAUACAUGCUUUUUUCCAAUGAAAUUUUUAACCACUCAGGAUUCUAGCUUUUUAACUGGAUGACUACGUCUGACCUCAUUCUGCAGAGAUUUUAAGAGUGGCAACAGGUCACCAAAAGUGAUUUGCAAAGCCCUCUGGCUUGGUGCUCCG
Pteropus alecto (black flying fox) is the source of this 6781-nucleotide long non-coding RNA. RefSeq lists it as uncharacterized. Lineage: Eukaryota; Metazoa; Chordata; Mammalia; Chiroptera; Pteropodidae. The transcript is spliced from 5 exons. The record is from RefSeq and is a predicted model, not a curated record.